UUGCUUCGGCAGCACAUAUACUAAAACUGGAAUGAUACAGAGAAGUUUAGCAUGGUCCCUGUGCAAGGAUGACACACAAAACUCUUCAGGGUUUUAACUUUAAA
Molecule: small nuclear RNA, 104 nt
Organism: Lynx canadensis (Canada lynx)
Lineage: Eukaryota; Metazoa; Chordata; Mammalia; Carnivora; Felidae
Source: Ensembl